GUGUCAGCCGCCGCGGUAAUACGUAGGGGGCAAGCGUUGUCCGGAUUUACUGGGCGUAAAGAGCGCGUAGGCGGAAGCUUAAGUGUGGCCUGAAAGCCCCCGGCUCAACCGGGGAAGGUGGCUGCAAACUGGGCUUCUUGAGGGGGAUAGGGGAAAGUGGAAUUCCGGGUGUAGCGGUGAAAUGCGUAGAGAUCCGGAGGAACACCAGUGGCGAAGGCGGCUUUCUGGGUCCGCCCUGACGCUGAGGCGCGAAAGCGUGGGGAGCGAACGGGAUUAGAUACCCCCGUAGUCC
This 292-nucleotide ribosomal RNA is filed under the name uncultured bacterium. Its description in RNAcentral is "partial 16S ribosomal RNA". It matches the Rfam family "Bacterial small subunit ribosomal RNA", at positions 505 to 796 of the family's 1533-position model. The record is from RNAcentral.